RNAcentral lists this long non-coding RNA (648 nucleotides) under Homo sapiens (human). Its description in RNAcentral is "TTC36 and KMT2A antisense RNA 1, transcript variant 2 (TTC36-AS1)". The record is from RNAcentral. Lineage: Eukaryota; Metazoa; Chordata; Mammalia; Primates; Hominidae.
GCGGGCGUCGUCGUCUCGGCCCUGCAGCCGCGCCAGGAGUCCGCGCUGCACAAAGCUCUGGCGGGCGGCGCGGCCCCGGCCGCCGCUCAGCUCCACCGCGCGUUCCAGAUCCUCCAGGGCGCCUGCGGGACCGACGAGACGGGCGGGGCGGGGGUCAGCGGAGGCCAGGGCGGCCUUGCCCGAGCCCCAGCCCACCUGCGGCCGCGCGGAUCACCGUGGUUCUUGCGGCUCCCGGGCGUGGCCAUUUACAACCCGCCUCGCACCUGCUAGAGAAAAGACCCCGGCCAUGGAUGGGAGACCUAGGACAAAGAUGGAAAAGAGUGCUUGGCACCAGACAGCUGCUCAAUGAGGAACACAACUGCAUCAUGGAGAAUCCCCAGCAUCCUCAAACCGUUAACACCUAGAAGAAUCAGAAGCACCAGGGAAGUGAGGAGCGCAGUCAACAGGAAACAGCAUGGUCCUACAGAAAUGCCUAUGCUAUAGUCACUCUGCCAGAGGCUGCUCCAGGGUGAAUUAUAGUACAUAUUAGCUCGAAAUUAGCAUCAGAUAGCCAUUAAAAUGAUGCUGAUACAGAUCUAUCAAUAUGGAAAAUGUUUGUGAUAGACGGCUAAGUGAAAAAAGCAUGCCACCAAAAAAAAAAAAAAAAAA